AAAAAUGAAAAGGCUGGAGGUAUGGCUCAGGGGUAGAGCAUCCCUGGGUUCAAUCCCCAGCAACCUCCCCCAACCCCGGAAAAAAAAAACAACAGCAACAGAAGAACCAAUUCAGCAGGCACUUUGAUCUUGGACUUCCAGCCUCCAGAACUGGGAGAGAUAAAUGUCUACUGUUCAAGCCACUCAGUCUAUGAUUAUUUUUUAUGGCAGCUCAAGCUGACUAUGACACUCUCCAAGAUGGGGACAGAAGAAAGGAUACCAUGGCAGAGGUGCAGUGGAGAGCAUGGGGACAGGGGGCCAUCAGGAGGUAGACCACAGGGAGCACCCAUCUAUCCAUCCUAUGCAGAGAUGUGUGCCAGAUGCCGCGUGGGGGUGAGUUUGUGUAAUCCCUGCACUCCAAGAGCUUGCAGAUGUGUUGAGGAUCUGCACACCUAAAAACACAAGCUCUGGAGGAAAGGGGGUCCAUUCUUGGGGAUGACAAUGUGGACCUGGGAGGUCAGGAGGGUUUCACUGAUGAAGUGUCCUUUGAGCUGACAACUAUAGGAUGUGAAUCCAUUAACUUGGUAGCGACAGAAUGAAGGAAAAAUUCUAGAUGAAUUCUAGGCAAAGAGAAUGCUUGGAGCCAGAGGCCUGGUGAAGGGAGCCUGGCACUGUCAGAGCAGUGGGAGGAGCUCGGUGAGCAGGAGGGAGCGAUGGGAGAGGAGCCCCAGUGAUGUGCAGGUGCAGCCUAAGCAGGGCCUGGGCAGAGGGAGGGGCAGGUCUGCAUCUUCAGGGCAAUAGGAAAAGGUACUGAACAUUUGAGCAGAAGAGUGACACAGUCAGAUUUGCAAAAUUCCUGCAGAAGGGACUGAACAUACUUGGAGAGCCCAGCAAAACAGUCAUUGCAAAGUCUGGGCAAGACAUGGAGGUGGUGAUAGAAGUGUCCAGGUAGACAUGGCAUCUAAGAAGGAAGUUCAGCUAGGCACAGUGGCACAUGCCUGCAAUCCCAAAGAGUCACAGAAGAAUUACAAAUUUAAGGUCAGCCUCAGCAUCUUAUAGAGAGACCCUGUCUCCAAACAAGAAAAGUCUGGAGAUGUAGCUCAGGGAUAAAGCACUUGCCUAGCAUGUCUGCAAGGCCCUGGGUUCAAUCCCCAGUACUUAGGGGGAAAAUAAAGAAUAAAAGCUGGAAUUAAGUAAAGACACUAAAGGGCUUGGAGAUGCCUGGGCAGCCACACUCUUUCUCUAGAGUUCCUGGGCAACCUGGCCCAAGACUAAACACGUUGAAGUAGGGCGACCAACACGAGAAACUGCUGUGCAAGAGUCCAGCGGCUGUCCAUUGGUUCCUGACACAUCAAGGGGUCAGGCGUGGACGUCAGACCACAGGAAGUUCAUGACAUGAGCACUCUGAGAUAAAGCACCGGAAGGACCACUGGGGUUUCCUCUCGUAAAACCAAGACUACAGAUCAAGGGAUCUCUGAAAUAAGAAGGUUUAUUGAGCCAUGACAGAUGUUAGCCAGGAAAAGGGUUAGGUUCUGGGACAAGUUCCCACAACUACCAGCAGCAGCUGGAAAAAUGUCUGCAGCCAGAGUAAAGAGUAUUUUUUUUUUUAAUUUGGGGGAUUGAAAGCUCUAUAACCCACAUGGGCUAGAGAUAAGAGGGGUGGGCAAUGUGAAGUGGGUAAAUUUGGAAAUAGAAUAGUCUGCACGGAGAUGCACUUGCUUCUCACUUGGGGAUAUAAGCAGAAUGUGAUGGCACCUUCAAGGUCAUUCUCCCAAGGUUUUGAGUUAUGGUUUCAAUAUAUGUAGGAACACAGAAUAGAUAGGGUUUGCUUGUUUUUCGGCUGCACUGAGGAUAGAGUCCAGGGACAUUUUACUUGUGAGCUUUAUCCCCAGCCUCUUUUAUUUCCUUUUAUUUAUUUUGAGACAAGGUUUCUCUAAGCUGCCCAGGCUGGCCUCAGACUUUCAAUUCUCUUGCCUCAGCCUCCAGAAUCACUGGGAUUCCAGGUGUGCACCCCCACACCUGGUUAGCAACAUGGAGUAGGUAUUUUGUUGUUGUUGCUGAUUUGGCUGAAGUUGUUAGCUGAAUAGUUUCUCUUACCUCUCCUCUCCCCCGUCCCUCACCUUGUAACUAAAUUUAGGACAUCUCAGAAUGUUUCUGUUUAUCACAAUUCGAUUCAAUCCCAACGUUAACUACCGGGAGUUAUACUCCAUGGGUAUAAGGGCUCAGGCCUUGAAGCCCACCCUUACUUCAGAGGCUGGCUGUGUGUCACAUCCCAGGUCACCACGUAUCUGUCUCUCUUGGCUACCAUGUUGGGAUGAUGAGAUCUCCAUAAUCCUCUUUCAGGUUCAAUGAUUUUCUGGAUCGACUCACAGAACUCAUGGAAACACUUUACUUCUCCUUUCCAGUUUACUUUGAGGGACGGAUUUCAGGAAAAGCCAGAUGACAGAUGCGGGGCAGAAGAAGGGGAGCACGCAGACAUGCCAGCCUCUGUGUGCCUGCCAAGCCAGAAGUUCUCCAAACUCCCAGGUACAGAGGUUUUCCUGAAGGUUUUCUCACACAGGCAUGAUGGCUUACACCACGAGCCAUGGAGGAUGACUCCAUUUCUAGCCUGUCCCCUCCCUAGAGGUUGGAGGCAGGGCUGACACACCAAGUUCUAACAAAGGCCUGGUCUUUCUGGUGACCAGCCCCCAUCAUGAAGUUACCUAGGGUCUUGCCAAGAGUGACCUCAUUAGAACAAAAGAUACUCCCAUCACUCAGGAAAUUCCAAGGGUCUGAAGAACUCUGUGUGAGGAACUGGGGACAAAGGCCAAAUGCAUAUGUCUUAUUAUAUGACAGGAAGUGCCUACCACCACCUUCUACCUAAGCAAUGCUGCAGAACACUCCACCUACCCCCAGCUCAAAAAUCCACAAAAUAUGUACUGUCAGGGGAGAGACUGUGGGACACAGAAAAAGAUAUGCUGAGUUUCAAAAGAGAAGUGCCCAUGAACUGCUAGAAUGCAGAAAUGCCCAGAAACCCUAGAACCUUGGAGAUGCAAAACCCAGCCCUCAUCCUUGAUCUACACCCUUGAUUGCAAAAUGUAACAUGAUUCAAGGGCAAUGCACAAGCACAGGGACUAUUGGCGUGUGGAGAUCAGGCCAUGCUCUGCUCUGAGUUCCAAUCGUGUUAAUAAGAAUGACCACGUCUGAAUUUAUCAUAUCAAUCAGAAUCACAUGGAUGGAGGGGCUUAUUAGACUCAUACUGGGAAAACCAGGUCCAUGAGCUGGGCCAUUAUCUUCUUUGAGCAGCUGAAGACCUGCGGCUCAGGUGAAGUAAACAAUUCAAGGUCAGGCAACCAAUACAGUGAGAGCCAAGACUGGAACCCAGGCUGUCUGGCACCAAAGCCCCCAGUGUAUGACUGUCCCAUUCUACCCGGGACAAAAGCAGUUCUAAUUAUACAACUAAUGGAUGGACCCCAAACUGCUCUAUAGAGUGCUUCUCAGGAGAUAAUCAACAGUCACCCC
RNAcentral lists this long non-coding RNA (3480 nucleotides) under Marmota monax (woodchuck). Lineage: Eukaryota; Metazoa; Chordata; Mammalia; Rodentia; Sciuridae. The record is from RNAcentral.